Molecule: ribosomal RNA, 450 nt
Filed under: uncultured bacterium
Lineage: Bacteria
Description: partial 16S ribosomal RNA
Rfam family: Bacterial small subunit ribosomal RNA
Source: RNAcentral
GUGAGGAAUUUUGCGCAAUGGCCGCAAGGCUGACGCAGCAACGCCGCGUGGGUGAUGAAGGCCUUCGGGUCGUAAAGCCCUGUCAGGUGGGAAGAAAGGCCUGGAGAGGAAAGGUUUCAGGUUUGACGGUACCACCAGAGGAAGCACCGGCUAACUCCGUGCCAGCAGCCGCGGUAAUACGGAGGGUGCGAGCGUUAUUCGGAAUUACUGGGCGUAAAGCGCGUGUAGGCGGGGGGACAAGUCUGAUGUGAAAGCCCUGGGCUUAACCUGGGAAGCGCAUUGGAAACUGUUUUUCUUGAGUACUGGAGAGGAAGGGGGAAUUCCCGGUGUAGAGGUGAAAUUCGUAGAGAUCGGGAGGAAUACCAGUGGCGUAGGCGCCCUUCUGGACGGUAACUGACGCUGAGACGCGAAAGCGUGGGGAGCAAACAGGAUUAGAAACCCUGGUAGUCC